This 253-nucleotide ribosomal RNA is filed under the name uncultured bacterium. Its description in RNAcentral is "partial 16S ribosomal RNA". It matches the Rfam family "Bacterial small subunit ribosomal RNA", at positions 524 to 776 of the family's 1533-position model. The record is from RNAcentral.
UACGAAGGGGGCUAGCGUUGUUCGGAAUCACUGGGCGUAAAGCGCACGUAGGCGGGUCGUUAAGUCGGGGGUGAAAUGCCAAGGCUCAACCUUGGAACUGCCUUCGAUACUGGCGAUCUCGAGUCCGGGAGAGGUGAGUGGAACUCCGAGUGUAGAGGUGAAAUUCGUAGAUAUUCGCAAGAACACCAGUGGCGAAGGCGGCUCACUGGCUCGGUACUGACGCUGAGGUGCGAAAGCGUGGGGAGCAAACAGG